This 403-nucleotide ribosomal RNA is filed under the name uncultured bacterium. Its description in RNAcentral is "partial 16S ribosomal RNA". It matches the Rfam family "Bacterial small subunit ribosomal RNA", at positions 30 to 526 of the family's 1533-position model. The record is from RNAcentral.
AUUGAACGCUGGCGGCAGGCCUAACACAUGCAAGUCGAGCGAGCGGCGGACGGGUGAGUAAUGUAUGGGGACUGCCCGAUAGAGGGGGAUAACUACUGGAAACGGUGGCUAAUACCGCAUACUAUCGGAUAACCCAUAUGGGAUUAGCUAGUAGGUGGGGUAAUGGCUCACCUAGGCGACGGUCUCUAGCUGGUCUGAGAGGAUGAUCAGCCACACUGGGACUGAGACACGGCCCAGACUCCUACGGAGGCAGCAGUGGGGAAUCUUGGGCAAUGGACGAAAGUCUGACAGAGCCACGCCGCGUGUGUGAAGAAGGUUUUCGGAUUGUAAAACACUGUUGUUGGGGAAGCGUUAUCUAACCAAAAAGCCACGGCUAACUACGUGCCAGCAGCCGCGGUAAUAC